Peromyscus eremicus (cactus mouse) is the source of this 1427-nucleotide long non-coding RNA. RefSeq lists it as uncharacterized. The record is from RefSeq and is a predicted model, not a curated record. The transcript has 2 exons. NCBI's taxonomy places the organism in Eukaryota, Metazoa, Chordata, Mammalia, Rodentia, Cricetidae.
GACUGGAGGACUAUGUGGCUGCCGUUAAACAAUCACUAUGCACUGAGCUGGAAUCAUGGGUAAAACUACAGGAUUAGCCAGAUACGAUGGCUCACACCUAUAAUCUCAGCAUUUAAGAAGCUGAUGAAGGAAGAUUGUCACAAGUUCAAGGCCAAGGCCAGCCUAUCUCAAACAGUUCAAGCCAAUCUGUGCUACAAGAGACCCCAUCUCAAAUACACACAAGAAACUGGAUGAAUACAAUACCAUGUAGGGAUGUAGAAAGGGUAGUGAGUACGUCCUAAGGACAGAGUCUCAACAUGUCCUACACAGGCAGAGGUAGACAAGUAAGAUGAGGCUGAAGAGACAUGAAGAAGGUAAAAUCCAGGAACUUUUGUCUUGUAAGGAAAGUUUACCGACGGAAUGAACAGUUAAGAGCCAGAUGCUAAAGGGAAGCCCGUUAAAGGGGGACUGCAGAUUCCAGAGCAGGCAAUAAAGCCACCAGCGACUCACAGUAGAUUUAGAAUUUUAACAGAACCCACUGUGGGCCAGGUUGUGUCUCAGGGGUUGCUCAGCAUUCCUUAGGCCCUGGCUAAGAUCAGCACCACUGGAAAAAAAAUUAUGGUGGAAGGAGAAAGAGAAAUGAGGCAAAAAUCAAAGGACAGAAUUUUUAGAAUGGAAGAAACGGCCAUGUUUCUAAAGUAUUUUCAUAUCGGCAGAGGGGGCUACUGGGAAGAUGUUGAAGAUGAAAAGGAGAGAGGCUAGCCCACAGAUGAACGAACCACUCAGAAGUCACACCCUGGUGACUACAAGGAGUGGGGCACAGAAGCAGCUGGUCUGAGGAAGACUCAGGAAUGUCCAUCUGAAGACGUAGAUUCAAGCCAGGUGUGGCGGUGCACAAGGCAGGCAGAUCUGAGGAAGAAGAGCUAGAUCAGAAGCAAAUCCUCUUCUAGUGGAGUCUACAAUGAACAUGCAGAACAGCGAUUGCAGAAAGAUGCUACAACUUACCCCUGAGAUGGAGGAAGAACCUGAAUGUGACCUUACUAAUGACCGCUCCACUCAUCUCCUUACCAGCUGAGUAAUACCAGCAUGUGGUAAAUACCUCUUCCCCAAGCAGCUGCUCUGCUUCCUCGUAGUUCAGUAAUCGCAUUUUCCUGCCUUUGAUAUUAGAAAGGAGGUGCGAACAUGUGCUGAUCCAAUCAUAACAUUCUCUCUGGGAAGAGACACAGCAUAAUUACUAUGCAGGGGGGAAAAAAAACCUAUCCCAACGCACUCAUUGACCCCCAUUGACCUGCUAAGCACAACUCCUCUAACUAGAGCACCUUUCUGUUCAGUUAAUUGCCCAGAAGUGUCUUACUACAAAUGUAGACCUAAAUCACAUUAUCUCUUUCUGACAGGGUUUGUGAUCUAGGUUGUAAUAAAAUAAAGUGUGAUGAGGUACCAUAAAACCA